This 175-nucleotide microRNA precursor is filed under the name Podarcis lilfordi (Lilford's wall lizard). Lineage: Eukaryota; Metazoa; Chordata; Lepidosauria; Squamata; Lacertidae. The record is from RNAcentral.
AUUUAGCGAGCUGAGUGGGGAGGAGAGAGGGACAGAGAGCCUGCUUGCUUUAAAGGAGCCAACCGGACAGGAGCCGCUUACACUUGUGUAAGCGACUCCUCUCCUCUCCCACUUUGCUCCUUUAAAGCAAGCAGGCUCUCUGUCCCUCUCUCCUCCCCACUCAGCGGCUCUUCUC